This 505-nucleotide ribosomal RNA is filed under the name uncultured bacterium. RNAcentral describes it as "partial 16S ribosomal RNA". It matches the Rfam family "Bacterial small subunit ribosomal RNA", at positions 28 to 507 of the family's 1533-position model. The record is from RNAcentral.
GACGAACGCUGGCGGCGUGCCUAAUACAUGCAAGUAGAACGCACAGUUUAUACCGUAGCUUGCUACACCAUAGACUGUGAGUUGCGAACGGGUGAGUAACGCGUAGGUAACCUGCCUGGUAGCGGGGGAUAACUAUUGGAAACGAUAGCUAAUACCGCAUAAUAUUAAUUAUUGCAUGAUAAUUAAUUGAAAGGUGCAAUUGCACCACUACCAGAUGGACCUGCGUUGUAUUAGCUAGUAGGUGAGGUAACGGCUCACCUAGGCGAAGAUACAUAGCCGAACCGGAGAGGUGGACCGCCAACAUGGGAACGGAGCAACGGCCAGGCUCCUAAGGGGGGGAGCAGGAGGGAAUCUUUGGAAAUGGGCGGAAGGCUUAACGAGCAAAGCCGGGGGGGGGAAGGAGGGUUUCGGAUCGGAAAGCUCUGUUGUAAGGGGAGAAAGGGUGUGAGAGUGGAAAGUUCACACUGUGACGGUACCUUACCAGAAAGGGACGGCUAACUACGUG